GAUGAACGCUGGCGGCGUGCCUAAUACAUGCAAGUCGAGCGAACAGACGAGGAGCUUGCUCCUCUGACGUUAGCGGCGGACGGGUGAGUAACACGUGGAUAACCUACCUAUAAGACUGGGAUAACUUCGGGAAACCGGAGCUAAUACCGGAUAAUAUAUUGAACCGCAUGGUUCAAUAGUGAAAGACGGUUUUGCUGUCACUUAUAGAUGGAUCCACGCCGCAUUAGCUAGUUGGUAAGGUAACGGCUUACCAAGGGAACGAUGCGUAGCCGACCUGAGAGGGUGAUCGGCGACACUGGAACUGAGACACGGUCCAGACGCCUGCGGGAGGGAGCAGUAGGGAACCGUCCGCAAUGGGCGAAAGCCUGACGGAGCAACGCCGCGUGAGUGAUGAAGGUCUUCGGAGCGUAAAACUCUGUUAUUAGGGAAGAACAAAUGUGUAAGUAACUAUGCACGUCUUGACGGUACCUAAUCAGAAAGCCACGGCUAACUACGUG
This 497-nucleotide ribosomal RNA is filed under the name uncultured bacterium. Its description in RNAcentral is "partial 16S ribosomal RNA". It matches the Rfam family "Bacterial small subunit ribosomal RNA", at positions 28 to 507 of the family's 1533-position model. The record is from RNAcentral.